Molecule: transfer RNA, 108 nt
Filed under: marine sediment metagenome
Source: RNAcentral
GCCCCGGUAGUGUAGUCCGGCCCAGCAUCUAGGCCUUUCGAGUCUAAGACCCGGGUUCGAACGAGUUGAUGAUUUUUCAUCUCUUCGAAAAUCCCGGCCGGGGCACCA